AGCGCAACCCCUAUUGUUAGUUGCCAUCAUUCAGUUGGGCACUCUAGCGAGACUGCCGGUAAUAAACCGGAGGAAGGUGGGGAUGACGUCAAAUCAUCAUGCCCCUUAUGACCUGGGCUACACACGUGCUACAAUGGUUGGUACAACGAGUUGCGAGUCGGUGACGGCGAGCUAAUCUCUUAAAGCCAAUCUCAGUUCGGAUUGUAGGCUGCAACUCGCCUACAUGAAGUCGGAAUCGCUAGUAAUCGCGGAUCAGCACGCCGCGGUGAAUACGUUCCCGGGCCUU
This 286-nucleotide ribosomal RNA is filed under the name uncultured Streptococcus sp. RNAcentral describes it as "partial 16S ribosomal RNA". It matches the Rfam family "Bacterial small subunit ribosomal RNA", at positions 1095 to 1382 of the family's 1533-position model. Lineage: Bacteria; Bacillati; Bacillota; Bacilli; Lactobacillales; Streptococcaceae. The record is from RNAcentral.